This 244-nucleotide ribosomal RNA is filed under the name uncultured bacterium. RNAcentral describes it as "partial 16S ribosomal RNA". It matches the Rfam family "Bacterial small subunit ribosomal RNA", at positions 57 to 305 of the family's 1533-position model. The record is from RNAcentral.
GCAAGUCGAGCGGUAACAGAUCUAGCUUGCUAGAUGCUGACGAGCGGCGGACGGGUGAGUAACGCGUAGGAACCUACCCAGUAGUGGGGGAUAGCCCGGUGAAAACCGGAUUAAUACCGCAUACGCUCUACGGAGGAAAGGGGGCUUCGGCUCUCGCUAUUGGAUGAGCCUGCGUAAGAUUAGCUAGUUGGUGGGGUAAUGGCCUACCAAGGCGACGAUCUUUAGCUGGUCUGAGAGGAUGAUC